UCGACGAAAAGUCAAAACAUCCACAAAAACUAGAGGGGAAUAGAAAAUAAAUUUACCAAAUUAAGCCCAUGACACAUGUUGAGACUUCACCUUCAACCCAAGCUUGAAUGGAAAUUAGCUACUCAUAAUUGAACUAGGGGCAAAAUGGGAAUUUAUUAAAAUACGAAGAAAAUACAAGAUGGAGAGGGAAUUACAGAAAAUGGAUCCCAAAAAUGGAUUCAGAGAUAUCAAAUUAGGGGGGAGAGGCCCCCUUUUUAUAGAUACAUGGAGUAAAUCAUGGCCAUCGGAUUAAAAACAGUUUGGACGCUCA
RNAcentral lists this long non-coding RNA (310 nucleotides) under Citrus sinensis (sweet orange). Its description in RNAcentral is "long non-coding RNA (CSIN_LNC000908)". The record is from RNAcentral. Lineage: Eukaryota; Viridiplantae; Streptophyta; Magnoliopsida; Sapindales; Rutaceae.